This 720-nucleotide ribosomal RNA is filed under the name Pseudoalteromonas sp. Amyl2. RNAcentral describes it as "bacterial SSU rRNA". It matches the Rfam family "Bacterial small subunit ribosomal RNA", at positions 356 to 1070 of the family's 1533-position model. The record is from RNAcentral. Lineage: Bacteria; Pseudomonadati; Pseudomonadota; Gammaproteobacteria; Alteromonadales; Pseudoalteromonadaceae.
GGGGAAUAUUGCACAAUGGGCGCAAGCCUGAUGCAGCCAUGCCGCGUGUGUGAAGAAGGCCUUCGGGUUGUAAAGCACUUUCAGUCAGGAGGAAAGGUUAACGGUUAAUACCCGUUAGCUGUGACGUUACUGACAGAAGAAGCACCGGCUAACUCCGUGCCAGCAGCCGCGGUAAUACGGAGGGUGCGAGCGUUAAUCGGAAUUACUGGGCGUAAAGCGUACGCAGGCGGUUUGUUAAGCGAGAUGUGAAAGCCCCGGGCUCAACCUGGGAACUGCAUUUCGAACUGGCAAACUAGAGUGUGAUAGAGGGUGGUAGAAUUUCAGGUGUAGCGGUGAAAUGCGUAGAGAUCUGAAGGAAUACCGAUGGCGAAGGCAGCCACCUGGGUCAACACUGACGCUCAUGUACGAAAGCGUGGGGAGCAAACGGGAUUAGAUACCCCGGUAGUCCACGCCGUAAACGAUGUCUACUAGAAGCUCGGAGCCUCGGUUCUGUUUUUCAAAGCUAACGCAUUAAGUAGACCGCCUGGGGAGUACGGCCGCAAGGUUAAAACUCAAAUGAAUUGACGGGGGCCCGCACAAGCGGUGGAGCAUGUGGUUUAAUUCGAUGCAACGCGAAGAACCUUACCUACACUUGACAUACAGAGAACUUACCAGAGAUGGUUUGGUGCCUUCGGGAACUCUGAUACAGGUGCUGCAUGGCUGUCGUCAACUCUGUUGUGA